CCAAUAGCGUAUAUUAAAGUUGUUGCAGUUAAAAAGCUCGUAGUUGAAUUUUAGGCCUGGCCGGGCGGUCCGUCUUUGACGAGUACUGUCUUGUUGUCGGGUCUUCCUUCUGGUGAACCAGUAUGUCCUUUAUUGGGUGUGUUGGGGAGCCAGGACCAUUACCUUGAAAAAAUUAGAGUGUUUAAAGCGGGCUAUUGCUUGAAUAGAUUAGCAUGGAAUAAUAGAAUAGGACGUUGUGGUUCUAUUUUGUUGGUUUCUAGGACCACCGUAAUGAUUAAUAGGGAUAGUUGGGGGCAUUAGUAUUCAAUUGUCAGAGGUGAAAUUCUUGGAUUUAUUGAAGACUAACUAUUGCGAAAGCAUUUGCCAAGGAUGUUUUCAUUAAUCAAGAACGAAAGUUAGGGGAUCGAAGACGAUCAGAUACCGUCGUAGUCUUAACCAUAAACUAUGCCGACUAGGAAUCGGGCGACGUUAUUUUCACGACUCGCUCGGCGCCUUAUG
Molecule: ribosomal RNA, 498 nt
Filed under: uncultured Glomeromycotina
Lineage: Eukaryota; Fungi; Glomeromycota
Description: partial small subunit ribosomal RNA
Rfam family: Eukaryotic small subunit ribosomal RNA
Source: RNAcentral